ACGUCGUUCGGUCGAAGCGCGUUCAGCGCUAGUUAUNNNGGCANANNAGNUCGGNGACCCUUUGCCNCCCGCGUUUUCCGUAUUCCUGAGGUCGGGCGAGCGAUCGUGGGCCGCGACAACAGCAAAAAAAAUACAUGCGAAUGCCGCAGAACGCGAUCGUCACCUAACGGUUCACCCGUAGAAGCACCGUUUAGAACGGGCAGCGCACGGACGAACGGUACAAAUUUCGACGAACGAAUUCCAUCAACGUAGGUAUGCAACACAGGAAACCGCACGCGACGGACGAGGCUAACGUAGCUCUCGCACCAACGANUGAAGAAGACCGCAC
This 328-nucleotide unclassified non-coding RNA is filed under the name Faramea multiflora. RNAcentral's name for it is "partial external transcribed spacer". Lineage: Eukaryota; Viridiplantae; Streptophyta; Magnoliopsida; Gentianales; Rubiaceae. The record is from RNAcentral.